Molecule: long non-coding RNA, 1595 nt
Filed under: Anas platyrhynchos platyrhynchos (common mallard)
Lineage: Eukaryota; Metazoa; Chordata; Aves; Anseriformes; Anatidae
Description: lncRNA (ENSAPLG00000021181.1)
Source: RNAcentral
CAAGCCUGUUGUCAUGUCUGCGACUUCUUAAGCACAUGAAACUGUAUGAAUCUGUACAGUCUACAGAACUAUAUUUAUUAUCUAGAAGUAGUUAGCAUUGAUUUUGUGGACCUGCAACCAGCACAGAAAAAACGUUAGGAGCUUAGUAUUACUAUUACUCUGUUACUUUUCCUGAUGCUUGUUAAUAAUCACUUUAACAAACAGAGGUUGAGGUUCUUUGGGAAAAAAAUCUUUCUUCACAAGGAGAAAUAGACUGAAAAUUGAAGCAUGGUUUGCUUUUGUGUAUUUGUAUACAAUAUAUUUCUAGUUCUGCAUGUCCUUUUUAAGAUGUAAAAGCGCUCUCAAGUUUGCUAAGGCCAUAAAAUAGCACUAACUAUAUGAAGCCAAACUGUCAGAACAGUUCGGAUAGUGUGUAGUAGUAGUGUUCGUUUUUAAUCUUUUCUCCAUUUAGGAAAGACUUGCUGCUUAAUCUUUUCUCCAUUUAGGAAAGACUUGCUGCACAGCUGGUGGAGAAGGACAGCGAUCUUAGUAAGUGGCGUGAAGAGAGAGAUAAAUUAGUAGAAGCUUUGGAAGUACAGCUCAAGACUUUGGCUUCUAAGACCAUACAAAAAGAUAAAGAAAUAGCAGAACUGAAACAGUCUGUCCUAAAGGAUUCGGGAAAGGAUAAUGAAACUGUGAUAGAACUAAGAAAACAGUUGGCUGAUAAAGAGGACUUCAUAAAGGAAUUGAAAAAAUGCAUUAACCAUGAAAGCCUUCAGUUUUCACCAGAAGUACCUUUACAUGAAGAAAGUCAAGAUACAGUGGAUUUACCUGUAAACAAAGAGUUUAUGAAGAAACAGAGUGAGAUUAAUCCAAUCACUGGAGACACUGUUCCAAUAAGACAUGAAGUUAAGGAGAAUGAUUCCAACAGUGCUUCUUCAUUAAGUGAAACUGAGGUUGGUAUGGAACUUUAAACUGGAAAGUUUUAUAGUUGUAUAGUGUAUGGAUUUGAUAAGUAAAAAAAUGGGUAGGAAACAGUGUCAUGUCUGAACAAUUCUGAAGUUAUUCUGCAGGUAUCUUUUGACGUGAUCAGAUUGUCUGAUUUGAGAGCUUUUGGUAGCACCAAAAGCUGAAGAAACGUAACUUAGUGGUGAAUUUUAUCUAUGUGCUUUUGAAAACUUUCAUUAUAAAGUAGCUGAUUAGAUAAGCCACCUGGAAAAACACUUCUGAAGCUAUGUUAGCUGAGGAUGCUAACCAACCCUAUGCAAAUCUUUGAUUGCUAUCUUUCAUAAAGUAGCAGUUAGAUAAAGAAAAAUGUUAUUAUUAACCAACUCAUUCUUGGAAAUGCAAGAUGUGUGCUUCGGCUGUGAGGUGGUACAAGAGAAAAUCUUCAGCUUGUUGACAGCGUUGCUGUCUGAAUGCCUGGGCUUUCUCCAGGGAAAAAAAGUGAUGAGACUCCUGCAGAUUGAAUUUGGCUUGUAGCUUGCCAGCUGGACCUUGUUAUUUACACAAUUAACUUCCAUAGUGUUGAAGGAGAAGGGCAAACUCUCUGAAGAUAGGCUACAGAGAAAUUCAAUUGUUCUGUCUAAAGCUCUUGUAUCUGCCUAAAGCUCUUG